AUUGAACGCUGGCGGCAGGCCUAACACAUGCAAGUCGAACGGUAACAGGAAGAAGCUUGCUUCUUUGCUGACGAGUGGCGGACGGGUGAGUAAUGUCUGGGAAACUGCCUGAUGGAGGGGGAUAACUACUGGAAACGGUAGCUACUACCGCAUAACGUCGCAAGACCAAAGAGGGGGACCUUCGGGCCUCUUGCCAUCGGAUGUGCCCAGAUGGGAUUAGCUAGUUGGUGGGGUAACGGCUCACCAAGGCGGCGAGCCCUAGCUGGUCUGAGAGGAUGACCAGCCACACUGGAACUGAGACACGGUCCAGACUCCUACGGGAGGCAGCAGUGGGGAAUAUUGCACAAUGGGCGCAAGCCUGAUGCAGCCAUGCCGCGUGUAUGAAGAAGGCCUUCGGGUUGUAAAGUACUUUCAGCGGGGAGGAAGGGAGUAAAGUUAAUACCUUUGCUCAUUGACGUUACCCGCAGGAGAAGCACCGGCUAACUCCGUGCCAGCAGCCGCAGUAA
Molecule: ribosomal RNA, 506 nt
Filed under: uncultured bacterium
Lineage: Bacteria
Description: partial 16S ribosomal RNA
Rfam family: Bacterial small subunit ribosomal RNA
Source: RNAcentral